Molecule: RNA transcript, 3462 nt
Organism: Populus trichocarpa (black cottonwood)
Lineage: Eukaryota; Viridiplantae; Streptophyta; Magnoliopsida; Malpighiales; Salicaceae
Exons: 20
Source: RefSeq, a predicted model, not a curated record
AAUAGAUAGCUUGCUAAUGACUUAUGGGUGCCAAUUGCCGUCCCUAGAGCCAAGAAAGACGUAGUCGAAUUUGGUCCGUGCGUGAAACGAAGGAUAUAGAGAAGAACACGAUGCUCUUCUUCGUUCAAUCAUCUUUAUGACUACUUCUUCCUUACUUCCGUUCAUUUAAUUUCUUUUCAAUUUUGCCUCUGCUCCCUCUCCUGCUCCUCAUCCUCUUCUUACUACUACUCCUCCUAUUAAAUUUCUGAAGAAUAACAGCCAAUCAAUCAAUCAGUAUUAACUAAAAAAAUAGCUCUCUCUCGCUCUGAAGAAGAAUUGAUUGCUAAACAAAUGUCAGGUGAAGCGGCGUCGUCGUCUUCUGGAGUGGUUUUACAAGGACUCGACGAUGUUGAGGAAUUCAUUUGGGCAAAUGAAGGAGAGGGUUCGUUGCCAUGGGACCGAUUCAGUCAUGUUUUUGAUCUUGUGCAAAAUGGAAACAAGGCAUUCCGGGAGAAUCAUUUUGAGGAGGCAAUCAAUUAUUACUCAAGAGCCAAUAACAUUAAACCCGGUGAUCCUAUUAUUCUUGGCAACCGUAGUGCUGCUUAUAGCAGGGUCAGCCAUUUACUGAAACAGAGACCUGCAUCCACUUCUGAGGACACACCAUUAAAUGGGCUGGAUCCUACUAUACAUGCUGAACUUGCAUUGAAGGAUGCCGAGAAGGUAAUAAACCUCAGAAACAAUUCAGUGAAUCCAUACAUCUUAAAGGCCAAUGCUCUUAUAUUGCUGGAAAAGUAUGAGCUGGCUCAGGAUGUUGUUCUUUCAGGUCUUCAGGUUGAUCCUUUCAGCAAUCCUCUUCGUGUUUCUUUACGGAAUUUGGAGAGAAUGCUGGGCAGUAUGAUGAGUAAAAGUCUUGGGAAACCAGAACGUAGUGAUGAAUUUGAUUGCACUCUCUGCCUGAAGUUACUAUUUGAACCUAUUACGACUCCCUGUGGGCAUUCCUUUUGCCGCUCAUGUCUUUUCCAGUCAAUGGAUCGUGGUAACAAAUGCCCAUUGUGUCGAACAGUUCUCUUUAUCAGUCCUAGAACAUGUUCAAUCAGUGUGACCCUAAACAACAUUAUACAGAAGAACUUCCCAGAGGAAUACGCUGAAAGGAAGUCCGAGCAUGACUGUUUGACAAACUUUGGUGUUGAUUUGAUCCCUCUUUUUGUCAUGGAUGCUGUUAUCCCGUGUCAGAAGUUUCCACUCCACAUAUUUGAACCACGAUACAGACUGAUGGUCAGGAGGAUCAUGGAAGGAAAUCAUCGGAUGGGAAUGGUUAUCAUCGAUUCUGCUUCAGGCUCGAUAGCUGAUUUGGCUUGCGAGGUGGAGAUUACUGAGUGUGAACCACUUCCAGAUGGGCGCUUCUAUCUAGAGGUUGAAAGUCGCCGAAGAUUUAGAAUCCUUCAAUCUUGGGAUCAAGAUGGGUAUCGUGUUGCAGAGAUAGAAUGGGUACAGGAUAAUUCACCUGAAGGGCUGGAACAGAGAACCGAAAUGCAGGAACUUACAAAUAGCGCAGCAGAAUAUGCUCAGUCAUGGUUAAGGAGGGCAAAGGAAGCUGCAAGACAAGAUCGAAGAAGACUUGAGAAAUUUCUUAAUGUGGAAGCAAUGAUGCCCAUGCCAUUGGAUCCUGAACGCUUCAGUUUCUGGCUUGCUACUUUAACAGAUAGGAGACCUAGUGAAAGAUUGGAGCUCCUUCGUACAAGGGAUACAACAAAGAGGAUAAGACAAGGACUGGACUAUCUUGGAAAAGCAGAACAAGGCUGCAGGAUGCAGUGAUAAUAGCCAAUGAAGAAGUACAACAAACUUGUGUUGAUUCCAUUUCUGUGAAUGCUACUUCGGUUUCUUCUUCUUCUGGACUCCCUUUAUAUCGCGGCGCUGGGAUUUUGACGGCUGAUUCAACGUGUACCUUCUACUUCACUCGUCCAGGGUGGCAUUGGGUUCGUUUUUACCUUCACUCGUGUUAGGUCACAGUCAAAGCUAUUACGAUUGCUGAGUAGAUAGAAUUCUACUUAUGGUGAGAAUGAACGGCAGUGAUUGACUUUGAAUAAGACUUGCUUUAUUACUGCAUAAUGGAAGAGGUUAAAUACAUGAAGGAAAUAGCAACUUCUCCUGAACACGUAGCGACCUUCUUGGAUUAUCAAUACCCCUUUCUUUCACUGGAACCUUGUCCUCAAGGUCCAUGUUUAUGAACUUAUCGCGCAAGUCCUGAGUAUUUUCCCAAGUAGCAUCAUCUACAGAUUGUUUCAGGUUCCAUGAUAAUUGCCCCAGUAUCAUCAACGAGAGGUAAAUCGGUUGUAGCAACAGUGGGUUCUCCAACUUUCUUUUUCGGCAAUGAAACAUGGAAGACUGUAUGAAUGCGUGAGCCGUCUGGAAGCUUUAUUUUAUAUGCCACCUUACCAAUUCGUUGCUAAAUUUGAUAAGGACCAUAAAAUCAGCUUGCCAAUUUCUGAGAUGGAUACCUAAAGACUGCUUGUUGCCGAUAAGGGUGGAGCUUAAUGAAAACCAGAUCUCCCACUUGAUACUCAACGUCGUGCCGUUUUGAGUCAGCUACCUGUUUCAUGUGAUUGUUAGCAGCAUGUAAAUUCGCCUUGAGCUGGCAUAAUAGUUCAUCACACGAGGCAAGAUUUUGAUCAAUUUCACUGACUGGAAAGGUGCCCAACUAAUAGUGUGGAAUGCUUGAUGGUAGACGCCCAUAUAAAGCUUGAAAAGGUGUCAUUCAUGUGGAUGUGUGGUAUGUUGUGCUAUACCAGAAUUCAGCCCAUGGGAGAAAAGUGCUCCAUUUGCGUGGUUAUUGAUGGAUAAAAAAUCGAAGAUAUUGUUUGACACACCUAUUGACAACUUCAUACUGGCCAUCCGUUUAUGGGUAGUAAGCAGAACGUAUUUUUAGUUAUGUGCCUGACAUCUUGAAAAACUCACGCUAGAAAUGGCUAAUAAAUAUUGGAUCCCGAUCGGUAAUGAUGGGCGCAGGCAUUCCAUGCAACCUCACUAUUCCCUCUACGAAUUUUUCAGCCACCAUUUUUGCAGUAAAGAGAUGAGUUAAGGGUAGAAAAUGUGCUGAUUUACUAACCAAUCGACAACUACAAGAAUUUGUGUUCUUGCUAUUGGAUGAUGGCAGUCCUUCGAUGAAGCCCAUGGUGACGUCGUCCCAAACUUGGCAAGGAAUGGGCAAUGGUUACAAGAGUCCUGCAGGUGAUAGAGUUUCUAUCUUAACUCGUUGACAUAUGUCACAAGAAGAGACAUAGUCAUGCACUGCCUGAUACAUAUAUGGCCAAUAGAAUUGCUGGGAAAGUCAUUUGUAUGUCCGUAACACUCCUGAAUGUCCAUCAACUUGAGAAUCAUGGAAUUCUUGCAAGAGUCGCUUGAUUAUUAGAGAAUUUGGAGGUACUACCACUCGAUUUUUAUAGCACACCAGUCCAUUUCACCAGGUGUAAGGAACACCAAGUU